Long non-coding RNA from Ixodes scapularis (black-legged tick), 404 nucleotides. RefSeq lists it as uncharacterized. The transcript is spliced from 4 exons. The record is from RefSeq and is a predicted model, not a curated record. NCBI's taxonomy places the organism in Eukaryota, Metazoa, Arthropoda, Arachnida, Ixodida, Ixodidae.
GGUGAACCUACGAUACGAGGCUACUUCCAGCCCAAGAAUCACUUUUCUCCUGGUCAAUGUUAUGACACUAAAAGGGGCUGGACCUUGCAGAUUUUGUUAAUGGCCAGCUUUCCAACAGCGUCCUGGGCAUCGCCUACUUCGGGGGAGUGUGCCACGUUCGUAUGAAUGUUGCCCAAUCAGAAGACGUGCCUCAUACAUACAGCAUGGUCCCUAUUUUGACGCACGAACUCGGGCACUCGCUUGGUAUGGUGCAUGACGGGGAGACAGCACAAUAUAGCACUCCUGGAAACGAACAUCGUGUAUGCGACCCAAAAGAUGGCUUCACGAUGGCUCCUGUUGCGCACGGCAAGCGGCAGGGACAGUGGUCCUCCUGCUCCUUGGACCAAGUGCGUAGAUUUGUCAGG